RNAcentral lists this transfer RNA (65 nucleotides) under Dalpada cinctipes. Its description in RNAcentral is "tRNA-Pro". The record is from RNAcentral. Lineage: Eukaryota; Metazoa; Arthropoda; Insecta; Hemiptera; Pentatomidae.
CAGUAAAUAGUUUAUUAAAAUAUUAAUUUUGGAGAUUAAAGAUAGGACUUAGUUCUUUUUACUGA